UUGAAAAGUUAUGGUGGAAAACUUUAUGUAUCUCGUGUUUCCCUGACUCGAUUUUAAUUCUGUUUUCUUUAGAUUAUAGAGGAAGAGCGGUUUAAUCGAUUGGACUAUUAAUCCAUACCGUUCAGUGCCGAGAAGUGCUCUUAAAUUGGUCUCCAAUUUCAUCAGUUUUGGUCAUUAUUGAAAAGUUAUGGUGGAAAACGAUUAUAGAGGAAAAGUGUUUAAUCGAUUGAACUAUUAACGCACACCCUAAAUUGCCGAGAAGUGUACUUAAAUCGAUCUCCAAUUUCAUCAGUUUUGGUCAUUAUUGAAAAGUUAUGGUGGAAAACGGUCUGUAUCUCGCAUUUCAUUGUCUCGAUUUUAAUUCUGUUUUCUUAAGAUUAUAGAGGAAGAGUGUUUUAAUUGAUUGGAUUAUUAAUGCACAUCCUGAAGUGCCGGAAGUGCCCUAAAAUUGGUCUCCAAUUUUAUCAAUUUUGGUCAUUUGUAAAAAGUUAUGGUGGAAAACGGUCUGUAUCUCGCGUUUCCCUGACUCGAUUUUAAUUUUGUUUUCUUUAGGGUAUAGAGGAAGAGCGGUUUAAUCGAUUGGACUGUUAAUCCACCCCGCAAAGUGCCGGGAAGUGCCCUUGAAUCUACCUCCAAUUUCAUCAGUUUUGGUCAUUUUUGAAAAGUUAUGGUGGAAAACGAGGAAGUGCGGUUUAAUCGAUUGGAUUAUUAAUCCACACCGUAAAGUACCGAGAAGUGCCUUUAAAUCGUCCUCCAGUUUCAUCAAUUUUGGUCAUUUUUGAAAAGUUAUGGUGGAAAACGAGAAAGAGUGUUUUAAUCGAUUGGAUUUUUAAUGCACACCGUAUAGUACCGGGAAGUGCCCUAAAAUUGGUCUCCAAUUUCAUCAAUUUUGGUCAUUUUUGAAACGUUAUGGUGGAAAACGGUUUGUAUCUCGUGUUUCCGUGGCCCGAUUUUAAUUCUGUUUUCUUCAGUUUAUGGAGGAAGAGUGUUUUUAUCGAUUGAAUUGUUAUCUCAACUUUCAAGUUUCGGUAAGUGCUCUUAAAUUGGUCUGAACUUUUAUUAAUUUUGGUCAUUAUUAAAAAGUUUGGUAGAAAAUGGGUCUAGAAAUUAAUGAUUUUCAGUAGGAGCAUUGUAGAAUUUUGGCCGAGUAUGUUAGUAGUACCAAAACUGGCGCUGCUUUCAUAGUUUAGGUUUGCGCGAUGUUUGUAUGUAAACAUUUUUUACGUGUUCAGCCAGCGUAUCGCAAUACUGAUAGCGACCGCGUGUUGCCAACGUACGUUUGCCGUGAGCAGUUUCAUUCCGGCCAUCGAAUGAAUUGCGCGUGUUCAUCGCUACUAGUUUUGCCAGAACAUUUUUAAGUAAUCACAUAAUAUUUAUUAAACAAAAGGCGGCAUGUACUGAUAUCGGGCGUCGUCGAGGUUUCACAAGUGUAAUACACGCGUUGAGUGUUUAUCAUU
Molecule: long non-coding RNA, 1457 nt
Organism: Dalotia coriaria
Lineage: Eukaryota; Metazoa; Arthropoda; Insecta; Coleoptera; Staphylinidae
Exons: 4
Source: RefSeq, a predicted model, not a curated record